This 2933-nucleotide ribosomal RNA is filed under the name Escherichia sp. 93.1462. RNAcentral's name for it is "23S ribosomal RNA". It matches the Rfam family "Bacterial large subunit ribosomal RNA". Lineage: Bacteria; Pseudomonadati; Pseudomonadota; Gammaproteobacteria; Enterobacterales; Enterobacteriaceae. The record is from RNAcentral.
GGGUUGUGAGGUUAAGCGACUAAGCGUACACGGUGGAUGCCCUGGCAGUCAGAGGCGAUGAAGGACGUGCUAAUCUGCGAUAAGCGUCGGUAAGGUGAUAUGAACCGUUAUAACCGGCGAUUUCCGAAUGGGGAAACCCAGUGUGAUUCGUCACACUAUCAUUAACUGAAUCCAUAGGUUAAUGAAGCGAACCGGGGGAACUGAAACAUCUAAGUACCCCGAGGAAAAGAAAUCAACCGAGAUUCCCCCAGUAGCGGCGAGCGAACGGGGAGCAGCCCAGAGCCUGAAUCAGUGUGUGUGUUAGUGGAAGCGUCUGGAAAGGCGCGCGAUACAGGGUGACAGCCCCGUACACAAAAAUGCACAUACUGUGAGCUCGAUGAGUAGGGCGGGACACGUGGUAUCCUGUCUGAAUAUGGGGGGACCAUCCUCCAAGGCUAAAUACUCCUGACUGACCGAUAGUGAACCAGUACCGUGAGGGAAAGGCGAAAAGAACCCCGGCGAGGGGAGUGAAAAAGAACCUGAAACCGUGUACGUACAAGCAGUGGGAGCCUUGAUUUAUCAGGGUGACUGCGUACCUUUUGUAUAAUGGGUCAGCGACUUAUAUUCUGUAGCAAGGUUAACCGAAUAGGGGAGCCGAAGGGAAACCGAGUCUUAACUGGGCGUUAAGUUGCAGGGUAUAGACCCGAAACCCGGUGAUCUAGCCAUGGGCAGGUUGAAGGUUGGGUAACACUAACUGGAGGACCGAACCGACUAAUGUUGAAAAAUUAGCGGAUGACUUGUGGCUGGGGGUGAAAGGCCAAUCAAACCGGGAGAUAGCUGGUUCUCCCCGAAAGCUAUUUAGGUAGCGCCUCGUGAAUUCAUCUCCGGGGGUAGAGCACUGUUUCGGCAAGGGGGUCAUCCCGACUUACCAACCCGAUGCAAACUGCGAAUACCGGAGAAUGUUAUCACGGGAGACACACGGCGGGUGCUAACGUCCGUCGUGAAGAGGGAAACAACCCAGACCGCCAGCUAAGGUCCCAAAGUCAUGGUUAAGUGGGAAACGAUGUGGGAAGGCCCAGACAGCCAGGAUGUUGGCUUAGAAGCAGCCAUCAUUUAAAGAAAGCGUAAUAGCUCACUGGUCGAGUCGGCCUGCGCGGAAGAUGUAACGGGGCUAAACCAUGCACCGAAGCUGCGGCAGCGACACUGUGUGUUGUUGGGUAGGGGAGCGUUCUGUAAGCCUGCGAAGGUGUACUGUGAGGUAUGCUGGAGGUAUCAGAAGUGCGAAUGCUGACAUAAGUAACGAUAAAGCGGGUGAAAAGCCCGCUCGCCGGAAGACCAAGGGUUCCUGUCCAACGUUAAUCGGGGCAGGGUGAGUCGACCCCUAAGGCGAGGCCGAAAGGCGUAGUCGAUGGGAAACAGGUUAAUAUUCCUGUACUUGGUGUUACUGCGAAGGGGGGACGGAGAAGGCUAUGUUGGCCGGGCGACGGUUGUCCCGGUUUAAGCGUGUAGGCUGAUUUUCCAGGCAAAUCCGGAAAAUCAAGGCUGAGGCGUGAUGACGAGGCACUACGGUGCUGAAGCAACAAAUGCCCUGCUUCCAGGAAAAGCCUCUAAGCAUCAGGUAACAUCAAAUCGUACCCCAAACCGACACAGGUGGUCAGGUAGAGAAUACCAAGGCGCUUGAGAGAACUCGGGUGAAGGAACUAGGCAAAAUGGUGCCGUAACUUCGGGAGAAGGCACGCUGAUAGGUAGGUGAAGCGACUUGCUCGUGGAGCUGAAAUCAGUCGAAGAUACCAGCUGGCUGCAACUGUUUAUUAAAAACACAGCACUGUGCAAACACGAAAGUGGACGUAUACGGUGUGACGCCUGCCCGGUGCCGGAAGGUUAAUUGAUGGGGUCAGCCGCAAGGCGAAGCUCUUGAUCGAAGCCCCGGUAAACGGCGGCCGUAACUAUAACGGUCCUAAGGUAGCGAAAUUCCUUGUCGGGUAAGUUCCGACCUGCACGAAUGGCGUAAUGAUGGCCAGGCUGUCUCCACCCGAGACUCAGUGAAAUUGAACUCGCUGUGAAGAUGCAGUGUACCCGCGGCAAGACGGAAAGACCCCGUGAACCUUUACUAUAGCUUGACACUGAACAUUGAGCCUUGAUGUGUAGGAUAGGUGGGAGGCUUUGAAGCGUGGACGCCAGUCUGCGUGGAGCCGACCUUGAAAUACCACCCUUUAAUGUUUGAUGUUCUAACGUGGACCCCUAAUCGGGGUUGCGGACAGUGUCUGGUGGGUAGUUUGACUGGGGCGGUCUCCUCCUAAAGAGUAACGGAGGAGCACGAAGGUUGGCUAAUCCUGGUCGGACAUCAGGAGGUUAGUGCAAUGGCAUAAGCCAGCUUGACUGCGAGCGUGACGGCGCGAGCAGGUGCGAAAGCAGGUCAUAGUGAUCCGGUGGUUCUGAAUGGAAGGGCCAUCGCUCAACGGAUAAAAGGUACUCCGGGGAUAACAGGCUGAUACCGCCCAAGAGUUCAUAUCGACGGCGGUGUUUGGCACCUCGAUGUCGGCUCAUCACAUCCUGGGGCUGAAGUAGGUCCCAAGGGUAUGGCUGUUCGCCAUUUAAAGUGGUACGCGAGCUGGGUUUAGAACGUCGUGAGACAGUUCGGUCCCUAUCUGCCGUGGGCGCUGGAGAACUGAGGGGGGCUGCUCCUAGUACGAGAGGACCGGAGUGGACGCAUCACUGGUGUUCGGGUUGUCAUGCCAAUGGCACUGCCCGGUAGCUAAAUGCGGAAGAGAUAAGUGCUGAAAGCAUCUAAGCACGAAACUUGCCCCGAGAUGAGUUCUCCCUGACUCCUUGAGAGUCCUGAAGGAACGUUGAAGACGACGACGUUGAUAGGCCGGGUGUGUAAGCGCAGCGAUGCGUUGAGCUAACCGGUACUAAUGAACCGUGAGGCUUAACCUUACAACGCCGAAGCUGUU